Molecule: long non-coding RNA, 400 nt
Organism: Pieris brassicae (large cabbage white)
Lineage: Eukaryota; Metazoa; Arthropoda; Insecta; Lepidoptera; Pieridae
Exons: 2
Source: RefSeq, a predicted model, not a curated record
CGGUGUGCCAAUUUAAUUUAAAAUCGGUUAAGUAGUUUAGGAGUCAAUCGCGGACAAACAUCGUGACAUGAGAUUUAUAUAUAUCAAGAUAUAAUUUAAAAUUAUUCUUUCGCUUCUCUAUAAAGGUCAAACACUUUUUAGCAUUUCUCAGAGUCUUUUCAUCGCAGUCAAUAGUAAGACUGGGUAUCUGGUACCCAAGUGAUAAAGCAACCAACAAGUGUCCUUUACCACCACCCGCUUCAACACAAUGUGUGGCUCCACACAAGUUAUGGAGGGAUGCCACAUAUGCUGACAUUGAUUGAACCUGAAGUUAUAUAUAUAUAUUUAUAUCGUAAGGAUUAUUUUUAUAAGGAUUGUGUGAUCAAUAAAUUACAACUAGUAAUAAAUGUAUAACUCACUU